Molecule: ribosomal RNA, 372 nt
Filed under: uncultured organism
Description: bacterial SSU rRNA
Rfam family: Bacterial small subunit ribosomal RNA
Source: RNAcentral
CAGAGGUCCCAAGCGUUGUUCGGAUUCACUGGGCGUAAAGGGUGCGUAGGUGGCUAGGUAAGUCUGAUGUGAAAUCUUCGAGCUCAACUCGGAAAUGGCAUUGGAUACUAUUUGGCUGGAGGGUCGGAGGGGGGACUGGAAUUCUCGGUGUAGCAGUGAAAUGCGUAGAUAUCGAGAGGAACACCAGUGGCGAAAGCGAGUCCCUGGACGACUCCUGACACUGAGGCACGAAAGCUAGGGGAGCAAACAGGAUUAGAUACCCUGGUAGUCCUAGCCGUAAACGGUGCGUAUUUGCUGUAAAAGGAAUCGACCCCUUUUGUGGCGUAGCAAACGCGUUAAAUACGCCGCCUGGGAGGUACGGUCGCAAGAUUA